UAAACAAAGGCCAAGGUUGUUCCCAUAUAUAAGAGUGGCGACCGAAAUGAUUAUCAUAAUUACAGGCCCAUGUCUGUACUAUCCGUAAUUAACACAGUCUUUGAAAAACUUGUUAGUGUUAGAGUCAAUUCUUUUUCAGAAAUGUUUCAGCUUUUUUCUUCCGAGCAACAUGGCUUUCGAGAAAAGCAAUCCACUUCUUCCGCUGUACUAAUUGCCACAAAAUUUAUUAAUAACGUGUUAAAAGAUAACCUUGUAACCUUCCCUGCUGGCAUCUUUCUAUACUAAAAAAAAAGCAUUUGACACGAUAAACCACAAGAUCGUGUUGACAAAAAUGGCUUCCAUGGUCAUGCCUUCAUUUUUUUUUCAGAGUUUUGCAGCAGUUACCUGUCUUCACAAACACAAGCAGCUGUACGUAACAAUGUUCCCUCCCAGCCUCUGUGUACCUCUAUAGGAGUCCCACAGAGCUCAGUUCACUUGUUACAUCCCAAACUGAGAUUGACGAGGGAGAAGGAUUUAGACAACUCCAAUCUUAGGAAGAUCAGUAAUGUAUAUGGUCACAAGUCUGCAGCAUUUCAAGGAGAAGAUAUGGGAUUCUGUAGACACAAAUAGAGUGCAUAAUAUUAAACCUGCCCUCACUA
Ornithodoros turicata is the source of this 638-nucleotide long non-coding RNA. RefSeq lists it as uncharacterized. The transcript is spliced from 2 exons. The record is from RefSeq and is a predicted model, not a curated record. NCBI's taxonomy places the organism in Eukaryota, Metazoa, Arthropoda, Arachnida, Ixodida, Argasidae.